CUGGUGGGUAGUAAUACAUGGGCUGAGGUGGAUAGCCAUAACCGCCAUACUCCGAUUUCUUCACAUCCACCGUAGCACCACCUUCUCCGCCUCCGGCUGGGGAAACUUCUUUCUUCUUGUCACCACCACCGUCUUUCUUUUCCCCCACAUCUUUGCUCUCUUUCUUUUCACCACCAUCCUUCUUUUCUCCGACAUCUUUGCUCUCUUUCUUUUCACCACCACCAGCUGGAGCUGGAGUUGGAGCCGUCGCCGCUGCCGCGGUGGUUCCCUCUUCUUUUUUCGGUGGAACAACUUCGACGUUGCGUUUAAGCUUCUCGUUGAGAUAAGGAGUGAGUUGU
This 338-nucleotide long non-coding RNA is filed under the name Brassica napus (rape). RNAcentral's name for it is "long non-coding RNA (BNAP_LNC012557)". The record is from RNAcentral. Lineage: Eukaryota; Viridiplantae; Streptophyta; Magnoliopsida; Brassicales; Brassicaceae.